RNAcentral lists this ribosomal RNA (253 nucleotides) under uncultured bacterium. RNAcentral describes it as "partial 16S ribosomal RNA". It matches the Rfam family "Bacterial small subunit ribosomal RNA", at positions 524 to 776 of the family's 1533-position model. The record is from RNAcentral.
UACAGAGGGUGCGAGCGUUGUUCGGAAUUAUUGGGCGUAAAGAGCUCGUAGGCGGCCUGUCGCGUCGGAUGUGAAAGCCCGGGGCUUAACCCCGGGUCUGCAUUCGAUACGGGCAGGCUAGAGUGUGGUAGGGGAGAUCGGAAUUCCUGGUGUAGCGGUGAAAUGCGCAGAUAUCAGGAGGAACACCGGUGGCGAAGGCGGAUCUCUGGGCCAUUACUGACGCUGAGGAGCGAAAGCGUGGGGAGCGAACAGG